GUUAUGGUUGGUACCUAUGUUCGAUUAGUAUGGCGGGGAAGUCUCUGGAUAUCUGUCAUAUUUUGUGCAUAAAUAUAUUUGGCCCAUUUAUUUCAUGUUUCAUACAAAGAUUGACAAAGUUAAGCCUUUGGUUAAGCGAAUAAAGUCUCGUUGCCUCGUUCCUGUGAGCUUUAUAAAAGUUAGAUAUCUUUUACUGAGGUGUGAUUAAGUACAAUGAGCUUAAAUCAAGAAAUCUUAAAAUAUGCUCCCUCGUACUGGGACAAGACAUUGCAAAAUAGAGAAGAAAACAUAUCAUCAAGUAGUGACGAAUUUAAGAACAUUUUUUCCGAAAUCACCAAAGCCGUCUACAGCACCCACUUCUCUGUUCAAAAAAUUAUCAGAAUUCAAAAUAUUCAUGACUUGGGUCAAUUGUUAAUUCGAGAACAACUGUUAGUAACAAGUAAUCCUCAUACACAGUAUUAUAGGGUAAGAAGAUUUAUAAAAAUAAAUAAACUAUAUUAUGGAAAUGCUAUAAAAUAUAAUAUAGACCAUCGAAGAUGUGGACUUCCUCAAGUCCAAUUUCGCAAAUCCGUUGGUAUGUCCCCGUCUUCAUCACAUGUGUUGUUAGUUGUGCAAGUGGUAACUGACAACCCAUCUGCAGAGUACAUAAACCCUGCAAAUUCUUUAGAAUAUUUUAUUGAAUAUGUUGUAUUUUUCAAAACGCUUUCUAUAUUAUGACUGAUUAGGUGAAUAAUUCUUGAUCAUAUUAUAUACAUUUUAUAAUUUUCCAAAUUGUUUACCAAAGUUGAUUAUUUUAGUUUUUAGAACAUUGUAUAUCAAUAUUAACAAAAUAAAUAUUUUUAUAUAGUCAA
This 851-nucleotide unclassified non-coding RNA is filed under the name Sitophilus oryzae (rice weevil). RNAcentral's name for it is "uncharacterized LOC115878362, transcript variant X2". Lineage: Eukaryota; Metazoa; Arthropoda; Insecta; Coleoptera; Curculionidae. The record is from RNAcentral.